AUGUCCCCAUUCUACCUGUCCCCCCCCAUCCAUGUCCCUAUUCUCUUACCAUCCCAUCCUACCUGUGUCCCCAACCCUUUCCAUGUCCCAUCCAUGUCCCCAUCCCAAUCCUUUCCUAACCCAUCCACAUCCCCAUCCAUGUCCCCAUCCCAUCCAUGUCCUCAUCCCCAUCCAUGUCCCAUCCCACUCCCAUCCACGUCCCUGUCCCCAUCUUUCCCUAUCCACAUCCCACCCCCACCUUUAUCUUUGUCCCCAUCCACAUCCUUGUCCUCAUCCAUGUCCCCAUCCCUGUUCCCACUCUUAUCCUAUCCCCAUUCCCUGUCCCUUCUCCAAUCCCAUCCCCGUCCCUGUCCCAUCCCCGUCCCUACUCCAAUCCCAUCCCCAUCCCCACUCUUAUCCCAUAUCUGUCCCCACUUCUAUGUCUGUCCCAUCCCCGUCCCCACUACCAUCCCAUCCCCAUCCCUGUCCCCACUCCUGUCCAAUCCCCAUCCAUAUCCCUAUCCCAUCCCUGUCCCCAUUCCUAUCCCACCCCCAUCCAUGUCCCCACUCCUAUCCCAUCCCCAUCCCCACUUCUAUCCCAUCCCCAUUCUUACCCCAUCCCUGUCCCCACUCCUGUCCAAACCCCAUCCCCAUCCCCGUCCCAUCCCUGUCUCCAUUCCUAUCCCAUCCCUAUCCCCAAUCCUAUCUCACCCCCAUCCCCACUCCUAUCCCAUCCCCAUCCCUGUCCCCACUUCUAUCUCACCCCAUCCCCAUCCCUGUCCCAUCCCCGUCUCCAUUCCUAUCCCAUCCCUGUCCCUACUCCUAUCCCUUCUCCAUCCCUGUCCCAUCCCCAUCCCUGUCCCUAACUCCUAUCCCAUCCCCAUCCCCAUUCUUAACCCAUCCCUGUCCCCACUCCUGACCAAACCCCAUCCCCAUCCCUGUCCCCACUCCUAUCUCACCCCAUCCCCAUCCCCAUCCCUAUCCCAUCCCCAUCCCUACUCCCAUCCCAUCCCCAUCCCUAUCCCAUCCCCAUCCCCAUCCCCACUCCUAUCUCACCCCAUCCCCAUCCAUGUCCCAUCCCUGUCCCCACUCCCGUCCCAUCCCCAUCCAUGUCCCUGUCCCAUCCCUGUCCCCACUUCUAUCUCACCUCAUCCCCAUCCCUGUCCAAUCCCCACUUCUAUCUCACCCCAUCCCUGUCCCAUCCCCAUCCCUGUCCCCACUCCUAUCCCACCCCAUCCCCAUCCCCCACACUCCCACCCCCCCAUUUCCCCCCCCCAUCUCACGGUGCAUCUGGGGCAGAGCCAUUCCCCGUUGGGGACCUCAGGCAGGGGCGGGUUGAGGCAGUGGAUGUGGUAUGAGGAGAUGCAGGCGUCGCAGCAGAGCAGCUCCCCGCCGUCCUUGCACACGCGGCAGUACUCCAUGUGA
RNAcentral lists this long non-coding RNA (1404 nucleotides) under Coturnix japonica (Japanese quail). RNAcentral describes it as "lncRNA (ENSCJPG00005000503.1)". Lineage: Eukaryota; Metazoa; Chordata; Aves; Galliformes; Phasianidae. The record is from RNAcentral.